GGAGAAGUGGUCUAGUGGUAGGGCACAGGCACCUCGAAUGUCCUGGUCGCACGUUCGAAUCGUGCCUUCUCCA
Molecule: transfer RNA, 73 nt
Filed under: Pseudocercospora pini-densiflorae CBS 125139
Lineage: Eukaryota; Fungi; Ascomycota; Dothideomycetes; Mycosphaerellales; Mycosphaerellaceae
Description: tRNA-Arg (TCG) (tRNA-Arg-TCG-3-1)
Rfam family: tRNA
About the family: Transfer RNA (tRNA) molecules are approximately 80 nucleotides in length. Their secondary structure includes four short double-helical elements and three loops (D, anti-codon, and T loops).
Source: RNAcentral